This 326-nucleotide ribosomal RNA is filed under the name uncultured bacterium. RNAcentral's name for it is "bacterial SSU rRNA". It matches the Rfam family "Bacterial small subunit ribosomal RNA", at positions 28 to 355 of the family's 1533-position model. The record is from RNAcentral.
GACGAACGCUGGCGGCGUGCUUAACACAUGCAAGUCGAGCGGUAAGGCCCUUCGGGGUACGACGAGCGGCGAACGGGUGAGUAACACGUGGGUGACCUGCCCUCAGUUCUGGGAUAAGCCUGGGAAACCGGGUCUAAUACUGGAUAUGACCUCAUGACGCAUGUUGUGGGGUGGAAAGCCUUGUGCGACUGAGGAUGGGCCCGCGGCCUAUCAGCUUGUUGGUGGGGUGANGGCCUACCAAGGCGACGACGGGUAGCCGGCCUGAGAGGGCGACCGGCCACACUGGGACUGAGACACGGGCCCAGACUCCUACGGGAGGCAGCAGU